Tympanuchus pallidicinctus (lesser prairie-chicken) is the source of this 1161-nucleotide long non-coding RNA. RefSeq lists it as uncharacterized. Lineage: Eukaryota; Metazoa; Chordata; Aves; Galliformes; Phasianidae. The record is from RefSeq and is a predicted model, not a curated record. The transcript has 4 exons.
UCAGAAGACAGUAAGUUGUUUCUGUUCUUUUUGCUGUAGUCAACCAGAUUUCCUCUUGUAGGGACAACUAAGUAUAGAACAGCACAGUAGCUUUUGGGUUUUAGGAGUGGGAAAACUGUGAAUUGAAGAGAUGCUUAUGUUCUUCUGCACAAGAAAGUGACCUUCUUCUUAGGUGGAAGAGAGCUACAGGAACUGGAGAACAGACGACUGCAUACCCACCGAAAAGCAAACAGUCUUCAGAGCCUUUCAGGAGAAUGGAGGAUCCUAGCUGUACCAGUCCCUCCUGGUCGAUGCCUCAGGCACAACCACAUUUCUGAUGGUUUGUUGCCAUGGAAUUGCUGACAGUUGGAAAAUCAGCAGUAAAACUUUGGGAACGGGUGUGUGCAAAAGGCUUGUAGGCAAACUUAGGCCUCAAAGCACUGCCUGAAGAAGUAGGACAUCCCCACUUCCCAUCACGUGCUGCUGCUCCUGCAUUGGAAGCACUCUUCAUCCAUCCCACUGUGCCUCUGCCUGCUGCCCUGUACCCAAAGGGAUUUUGCCAACCGCAAGAGAAGAUGUUGCCAGUGAAAAUGGACGGUGCACGCUGAGCUCCAAGGGUGCAGGAGCUCCCUGCAAGGACUUCAUCCAGCUCCCUGGGGCUGGGAGAGCACACGGGGCUGAACCAAUUACUGCAGCACUGCCUGAGGGCUUGUGGCAGGAAGGCUUUCCAGCCAUCGCAAGCAUCAGUGUUUUGCCAUCCAAAGGGUCUGGAAAACCACCUCAGCCACAGACAGCAGUGCAGGCAGGCCCACGGGGCUUCCCCAUCUCCUCACUCCUCCAUCGAGCACAAACAGCUUCCUCAGACAACAGGAAUGCAGGCAGACUCCAAAUGCAUCAGUAAUAAGGAACUAAAAACAUGCAUGGAAAAGUUUGCACUACAGAAGAGCGUGGCUUAGCAUCAUUAAAGCCAUGAUCUAAAGCUGAGCAUUUUGUAGAGGAUCUUGAACAACUGAUGCUGGACAUUUUACCAAAAUUACUUAUUGAAACUCCCACCAUCUCAUCAGUAACUGCUGAAUGCUAAUUAAGGCAGAGCACAGCUGUGUGCCCUGCUCGUGCUUUAAAGCUCUUUGGAGCAGCAGGUGCUUCCCUGGGCAGGGUGAGUCACUCCAGGCUCUGGACUCA